CCUACGGGUGGCAGCAGUGAGGAAUAUUGGUCAAUGGGCUCUCGCCUGAACCAGCCAAGUAGCGUGAAGGAUGACUGCCCUAUGGGUUGUAAACUUCUUUUAUCUGGGAAUAAAGUGCAGUAUGUAUACUGCUUUGCAUGUACCUUAUGAAAAAGGAUCGGCUAACUCCGUGCCAUCAGCCGCGGUAAUAACGCGGAUCCGAACGUUAUCCGGCUUUAUUGGGUUUAAAGGGAGCGUAGGCGGGUUGUUAAGUCAGUUGUGAAAGUUUGGGGCUCAAACGUAAAAUUGCAGUUGAUACUGGCAUCCUUGAGUGCAGUAGAGGUAGGCGGAAUUCGUGGUGUAGCGGUGAAAUGCUUAGAUAUCACGAAGAACUCCGAUUGCGAAGGCAGCCUACUGGACUCUAACUGACGCUGAUGCACGAAAGUGUGGGUAUCAAACAGGAUUAGAUACCCUAGUAGUC
Molecule: ribosomal RNA, 460 nt
Filed under: uncultured bacterium
Lineage: Bacteria
Description: partial 16S ribosomal RNA
Rfam family: Bacterial small subunit ribosomal RNA
Source: RNAcentral